AGCAGUCGCCGCGGGAAUACAGAGGGUGCAAGCGUUAAUCGGAAUUACUGGGCGUAAAGCGCGCGUAGGUGGUUUGUUAAGUUGGAUGUGAAAGCCCCGGGCUCAACCUGGGAACUGCAUCCAAAACUGGCAAGCUAGAGUACGGUAGAGGGUGGUGGAAUUUCCUGUGUAGCGGUGAAAUGCGUAGAUAUAGGAAGGAACACCAGUGGCGAAGGCGACCACCUGGACUGAUACUGACACUGAGGUGCGAAAGCGUGGGGAGCAAACAGGAUUAGAUACCCGGGUAGUCCCUGUCUCUUAUAC
This 303-nucleotide ribosomal RNA is filed under the name uncultured bacterium. RNAcentral's name for it is "partial 16S ribosomal RNA". It matches the Rfam family "Bacterial small subunit ribosomal RNA", at positions 507 to 807 of the family's 1533-position model. The record is from RNAcentral.